AUGGAAUAUGAAAAGUUGAUCCAUGGAGGUUACACCAUCGCCGGCCGGAUCGCAGCAGGAAACACGUACGCCAUCACAAUGGAAAACGACCGAGCAAGAUCACAACACACUUACAGAGUGCCGACGGGGAAACUUAAUUUCUUUUUAAUUACACUUCACACGGUUUUUUCCUUUCUUCUGAUUUUGUACUUUUGUUCGAGUUUCAUUUAUUCUGAAAGUCUUGUUGUUAAAAGAGAUGAAAGUUGGCGGCGACGAUAG
Vicia faba (fava bean) is the source of this 258-nucleotide non-coding RNA. Lineage: Eukaryota; Viridiplantae; Streptophyta; Magnoliopsida; Fabales; Fabaceae. The record is from the annotation of a GenBank genome assembly.